Molecule: long non-coding RNA, 1866 nt
Organism: Hemicordylus capensis (graceful crag lizard)
Lineage: Eukaryota; Metazoa; Chordata; Lepidosauria; Squamata; Cordylidae
Exons: 3
Source: RefSeq, a predicted model, not a curated record
CUGGAAGUUGCAGGAGUUUCAAAUGCAAGUAAAACAUGUGCCGGCAAAGAGAACAUUAUUGCUGAUGCCCUAUAAAAGCAAAGUGCUGGACAGUGAAAAAUGGACUAACAGUAGGAUGUUGCACACUUAUCCUUCGUACAGGAUACAUAUUUCACUUGAGAAGGGGAGGAAUAUGUAAAGGAAUGAGGCACAAACCUUUUCUCCAUUGUAAAUAUGUAUAGAACGUUACCUGGUUUCUGUGUCUGUGUGGGGUCAAAAGUUCAUUCUUAUUUUUCUGUAGUUUUACAUUUGGUUAAUAUUUGACAGUUGAUUUUUUUUGGGGGGGAGAGAUUUAUUUUUUUUUAAAUGGAGGGAAAUUUUUGUUUAUCCUGAUUGGCUGGACUGAGGAACUGUUGGGCAGAGAAACUGUAUAUAUUGGGAGUGUUUGGAGAGGGAAGGGAGAGUCCUGGAAGUGAAGUCUACAGAAUCCUGAGAGAGAGUCCUGGAAAAAGAAGUCAAGAGAGUCCUGGCAGUAGAAGGGAGUUUGGAAGUCUGCAGAGAGUGAGCAGCCUGCAAGAGGAAGAGAAGCCUUUGAGCUGAAAUCACUGGAAGAAAAGGAAGAGCCAGGCUGGAUUUAGCCGUAACCAGAACAAAGUCUACCCUGCAAAGCCAAAGCUGAGAAGAAAGAAAGUACAAGAGGACUCUGAGUAGGGACCUCUUUAGAGCUAGGGGAAUAUAUCGCUUUCCAAUUUCCUUUCCCAUCAAGGGAAUGGCCUGGUUUUCCGUAGGACAGAAUCCAGAGCUUUUAUCUCUCCCAUGCUAAUGAGCAUCUAUUGUACUUCAGUGACGUGCAACUGUGGUGCAGCUACUAUCGCUACGGUACAGGUGCAAAAUACGAUCUGAAGGCCUUAUGCUUAGAUGUUCUGCUUCCAUGGGUAGAAACCACCUCACAGCUGUAAUAUCCAAGACUGAAGACAGGAGUGUAACACAUACUCUGACUCCUUUUAUUUUUUUCUCAUGUUCCCUGGUGAAUGAAGAACACGUUCUCCCCAACUUCCCUCAAAAGAUCUUCAAAGGAAAGGAAUACAUUGACGCAUUCACUUUGUUUCCUUCCUUCAACCACUGCUAAUUGAGCAAAGAAGCACCCUAUAACGUGGCGAUUCUCUUACCUUUAGCAGGCGGAGAGCAACUGGCCCUAUCCAAUCCUAGCACAGCACCCCUCCUGUAGUGGUUGUUGGUGCCUACUUUAUAUUUCUUUUUAGAAGUGAGCCCUUUUGAGACAGGGAAUCAUCAUACAUCAAUUCCUGACAUCUCCAGGUAGAUGCUGGGAAAGACUCUUGUUAGAAAGUGCCAAACCAGUGCUCAAAUUAUGGAGGGGAAAGGUAGGGAUUGGGAGCCCUUUAUGAAAUUUACAGGCUCCACCCUCUGAUGUUUAUGUUCCCCACUGCAGUUUUUGUAAAAAAAACAACCAGUAGCUAAGGGGGCAGCCCACAAAAGCUAAGGGGGCAGGAGGUGCCUGCAUCCCUGCAAUUCAAGCAUUCAGUGUAGCCAACACUGAAUGUUGGAACAAUUCCGUAUGAGGGAGUUCAUAUAUGCAGCUUCAUCAGGCUGUAAUGGAAGAAAAAAGUGAGGACAAUGCACAGCAGCAAGGCAAGGAACCACCUUGUAAAGCAUUCAGCUGGAGGAGGCACUGCAGCCAGAGAGAGAAGCUUUGUCCAUCAACCUCUGAGGUUCAGUGGAUCAUGGUUGGGAGAUGCCAAAUGCUCCCGUGAAAAAAACACCAUCCCAGGCGCAUUCUGUCUUGUGCUCCUGAUAGGAUGGGAAGUUUGGCAUUUUUAUGGUUUGGGUAACUGUUUCAUUUCAGAAAUAAAUAGUUGUGAAAUCUAA